This 332-nucleotide ribosomal RNA is filed under the name uncultured bacterium. Its description in RNAcentral is "bacterial SSU rRNA". It matches the Rfam family "Bacterial small subunit ribosomal RNA", at positions 568 to 898 of the family's 1533-position model. The record is from RNAcentral.
CGCGUAGGCGGCCAGGUAAGUCGGAUGUGAAAGCCCUCGGCUUAACCGAGGUUCCGCACCCGAAACUGCCCGGCUCGAGUCUAGGAGAGGAGAGUGGAAUUCCCAGUGUAGCGGUGAAAUGCGUAGAUAUUGGGAGGAACACCGGUGGCGAAGGCGGCUCUCUGGACUAGUACUGACGCUGAGGCGCGAAAGCUAGGGGAGCGAACGGGAUUAGAUACCCCGGUAGUCCUAGCCGUAAACGAUGGGCACUAGGUGUGGGAGGUAUCGACCCCUUCCGUGCCGCAGCUAACGCAUUAAGUGCCCCGCCUGGGGAGUACGGCCGCAAGGUUGAA